RNAcentral lists this ribosomal RNA (468 nucleotides) under uncultured bacterium. RNAcentral's name for it is "partial 16S ribosomal RNA". It matches the Rfam family "Bacterial small subunit ribosomal RNA", at positions 28 to 507 of the family's 1533-position model. The record is from RNAcentral.
GACGAACGCUGGCGGCGUGCUUAACACAUGCAAGUCGAACGGAAAGGCCCUGCUUUUGUGGGGUGCUCGAGUGGCGAACGGGUGAGUAACACGUGAGUAACCUGCCCUUGACUUUGGGAUAACUUCAGGAAACUGGGGCUAAUACCGGAUAGGAGCUCCUGCUGCAUGGUGGGGGUUGGAAAGUUUCGGCGGUUGGGGAUGGACUCGCGGCUUAUCAGCUUGUUGGUGGGGUAGUGGCUUACCAAGGCUUUGACGGGUAGCCGGCCUGAGAGGGUGACCGGCCACAUUGGGACUGAGAUACGGCCAAGACUCCUACGGGAGGCAGCAGUGGGGAAUAUUGCACAAGGGGCGGAAGCCUGAUGCAGCAACGCCGCGUGCGGGAUGACGGCCUUCGGGUUGUAAACCGCUUUCGCCUGUGACGAAGCGUGAGUGACGGUAAUGGGUAAAGAAGCACCGGCUAACUACGUG